Molecule: ribosomal RNA, 253 nt
Filed under: uncultured bacterium
Lineage: Bacteria
Description: partial 16S ribosomal RNA
Rfam family: Bacterial small subunit ribosomal RNA
Source: RNAcentral
UACGAAGGGGGCUAGCGUUGCUCGGAAUCACUGGGCGUAAAGGGUGCGUAGGCGGGUCUUUAAGUCAGAGGUGAAAUCCUGGAGCUCAACUCCAGAACUGCCUUUGAUACUGAAGAUCUUGAGUUCGGGAGAGGUGAGUGGAACUGCGAGUGUAGAGGUGAAAUUCGUAGAUAUUCGCAAGAACACCAGUGGCGAAGGCGGCUCACUGGCCCGAUACUGACGCUGAGGCACGAAAGCGUGGGGAGCAACAGGG